This 399-nucleotide ribosomal RNA is filed under the name uncultured bacterium. Its description in RNAcentral is "partial 16S ribosomal RNA". It matches the Rfam family "Bacterial small subunit ribosomal RNA", at positions 338 to 734 of the family's 1533-position model. The record is from RNAcentral.
CCUACGGGAGGCUGCAGUGAGGAAUAUUGGUCAAUGGGCGGAAGCCUGAACCAGCCAAGUAGCGUGAAGGAUGACUGCCCUACGGGUUGUAAACUUCUUUUGUCAAGGAAUAAAAUGAGGCACGUGUGCCUUUUUGUAUGUAUUUUAUGAAUAAGGAUCGGCUAACUCCGUGCCAGCAGCCGCGGUAAUACGGAGGAUUCGAGCGUUAUCCGGAUUUAUUGGGUUUAAAGGGAGCGUAGAUGGGUUGUUAAGUCAGUUGUGAAAGUUUGCGGCUCAACCGUAAAAUUGCAAUUGAUACUGGCAGCCUUGAGUAGAGUUGAGGUAGGCGGAAUUCGUGGUGUAGCGGUGAAAUGCUUAGAUAUUACGAAGAACUCCGAUUGCGAAGGCAGCCUACUAACC